GUAUUGCACCUACCGAAGACUAUCAAACUCCGAAUGCCGUCAUCUUAUACUUGGGAGUCAGACUGUGGGUGAUAAGAUUCAUAGUCGAAAGGGCAACAGCCCAGAUCGUCAGCUAAGGUCCCUAAAUGUAAGUUAAGUGGUAAAGGAUGUGGGAUUGCACAGACAACCAGGAUGUUGGCUUAGAAGCAGCCACUCAUUCAAAGAGUGCGUAAUAGCUCACUGGUCGAGUGAUCCUGCGCCGAAGAUUUCCGGGGCUAAAACUUACUACCGAAGCUACGGCAUCAGUAAUGAUGGGUAGGGGAGCUUCCCAUACGGGUUGAAGCAUGACCGUAAGGACAUGUGGACAGUAUGGGAGUGAGAAUGUUGGCAUGAGUAGCGAGAUGUGGGUGAGAAUCCCACAGGCCGUAAACCCAAGGUUUCCAGGGGAAGGUUCGUCCGCCCUGGGUUAGUCGGGACCUAAGCUGAGGCCGAAAGGCGUAGGUGAUGGACAACAGGUUGAUAUUCCUGUACUACCGAUAACCGUUUGAGAGAUGGGAUGACACAGUAGGAUAAGCUAAGCACACUGUUGGUUAUGUGUGCCCAAGCAUUGAGGCAGUCAAAGUAGGCAAAUCCGCUUUGAUAAUGCUGGGAUGUGAUGGGGAGCGAAAUUUAGUAGCGAAGUAGCUGAUUUCACACUGUCAAGAAAAGUCUCUAUCGAGGUUAAAGGUACCCGUACCGCAAACCGACACAGGUGGGUGAGGAGAGUAUCCUAAGGCCAGCGAGAGAACUGUUGUUAAGGAACUCGGCAAAAUGACCCCGUAACUUAGGGAUAAGGGGUGCCACCAUCAGGUGGCCGCAGAGAAUAGGCCCAAGCGACUGUUUACCAAAAACAUAGGUUUCUGCUAAGUCGCAAGACGAUGUAUAGGAGCUGACGCCUGCCCGGUGCUGGAAGGUUAAGGGGAUCUGUUAGAGCAAUCGAAGCAGUGAACUUAAGCCCCAGUAAACGGCGGCCGUAACUAUAACGGUCCUAAGGUAGCGAAAUUCCUUGUCGGGUAAGUUCCGACCCGCACGAAAGGCGUAACGAUUUGGGCACUGUCUCAACAACAGACUCGGUGAAAUUGUAAUUCCGGUGAAGAUGCCGGAUACCUGCGACAGGACGGAAAGACCCCAUGGAGCUUUACUGUAGCUUGACAUUGGGUCUUGGUACUACAUGUACAGGAUAGGUGGGAGGCUUUGAAACCAGGACGCCAGUUUUGGCGGAGCCAUCCUUGGGAUACCACCCUUGUAGUACUGGGACUCUAACCAUAGGCCAUGAAUCUGGUCUUGGGACACUGUCAGGUGGGCAGUUUGACUGGGGCGGUCGCCUCCCAAAAGGUAACGGAGGCGCUCAAAGGUUCUCUCAGUACGGUCGGAAAUCGUACGUAGAGUGUAAAGGCAAAAGAGAGCUUGAUUGCAAGACAUACAGGUCGAGCAAGGAUGAAAAUCGGACUUAGUGAUCCGGUGGUUCUGCGUGGAAGGGCCAUCGCUCAACGGAUAAAAGCUACCCUGGGGAUAACAGGCUUAUCUCCCCCAAGAGUCCACAUCGACGGGGAGGUUUGGCACCUCGAUGUCGGCUCAUCACAUCCUGGGGCUGUAGUAGGUCCCAAGGGUUGGGCUGUUCGCCCAUUAAAGUGGUACGCGAGCUGGGUUCAGAACGUCGUGAGACAGUUCGGUCCCUAUCCGUCGCAGGCGUAGGAAAUUUGAGAAGACCUGUCCUUAGUACGAGAGGACCGGGAUGGACGUACCUCUGGUGUACCAGUUGUUCUGCCAAGGGCAUGGCUGGGUAGCUAUGUACGGAAUGGAUAAGCGCUGAAAGCAUCUAAGCGCGAAGCCAACUUCAAGAUAAGAUUUCCCACCGCAAGGGUAAGACCCCAGAAAGACUAUCUGGUUGAUAGGUCGAAGGUGUAAGUGCAGCAAUGUAUUUAGCUUAUCGAUACUAAUAGGUCGAGGACUUGACCAA
Molecule: ribosomal RNA, 1978 nt
Filed under: Clostridioides difficile DA00244
Lineage: Bacteria; Bacillati; Bacillota; Clostridia; Peptostreptococcales; Peptostreptococcaceae
Description: bacterial LSU rRNA
Rfam family: Bacterial large subunit ribosomal RNA
Source: RNAcentral